CGCACGGGUGAGUAACACGUAUCCAACCUGCCGUCUACUCUUGGACAGCCUUCUGAAAGGAAGAUUAAUACAAGAUGGCAUCAUGAGUUCACAUGUUCACAUGAUUAAAGGUAUUCCGGUAGACGAUGGGGAUGCGUUCCAUUAGAUAGUAGGCGGGGUAACGGCCCACCUAGUCUUCGAUGGAUAGGGGUCCUGAGAGGAAGGUCCCCCACAUUGGAACUGAGACACGGUCCAA
RNAcentral lists this ribosomal RNA (235 nucleotides) under uncultured bacterium. RNAcentral describes it as "partial 16S ribosomal RNA". It matches the Rfam family "Bacterial small subunit ribosomal RNA", at positions 99 to 334 of the family's 1533-position model. The record is from RNAcentral.